GUGCAAUUUUUGGAUAAUCGCGUAGUAUUUUAAUACUAUGAGGAAAGUCCAUGCUAGCACUGGCUGUGAUGCCAGUAGUGAUUGUGCUAGGCGAACACAUAAGCCUAGGGAUGUGCAUACACAUUACGGCGAAGGAAAUGGCUAAGUCGUUUGAUAUGCCAAAGUACUUCUGAAAGUGCCACAGUGACGUAGUUUUUAUGGAAACGUAAAAAAUGGAACGCGGUAAACCCCUCAAGCUAGCAACCCAAACUUUGGUAGGGGCAUGGGAUAGUUGGAAACGAACAAGCUAUCCUGACUGUCAACAGACGGUAGACAGAUGAUUAUCGAAGGAAAUAAUUCCUAGUUAUUUCCGGAACAAAACAUGGCUUAUAGAAAAUUGCAUAAUAGGUUAAGCUAGCAUUUGCUAGCUUUU
RNAcentral lists this RNase P RNA (412 nucleotides) under Streptococcus pyogenes. The stretch from base 6 to 374 matches the Rfam family "Bacterial RNase P class B". Rfam says of the family: Ribonuclease P (RNase P) is a ubiquitous endoribonuclease, found in archaea, bacteria and eukarya as well as chloroplasts and mitochondria. The record is from RNAcentral. Lineage: Bacteria; Bacillati; Bacillota; Bacilli; Lactobacillales; Streptococcaceae.